Long non-coding RNA from Passer domesticus (house sparrow), 927 nucleotides. RefSeq lists it as uncharacterized. The transcript is spliced from 3 exons. The record is from RefSeq and is a predicted model, not a curated record. NCBI's taxonomy places the organism in Eukaryota, Metazoa, Chordata, Aves, Passeriformes, Passeridae.
GUUGUUUAGGAGAGAUUUUCUUAAGUAUAUUUUACCUUUAGCCAAAGAAAAAGUAUAGUCAUCAAAGUAAUUUUUCUACUUGCACAGUAAAUAUAAACUUGGCAUAUGUGCUAUACAGUAGAUUUGCUUGCUGUGAGACCAUCUGAUUUAUUUGGGUUGAAGUCAGACAGACAGCCUUUCGGCAUAGGACAUGGGUUGGUACACAACAAACCUAUUGAAGAGACAGAAGUCACGACUGUAGGCAACGUGAUUACAUGGACUCCCUCACUGAAGGACAGACCUUGGCUGGAAGGAAAAAAAGUUCAGAAAAGUAGCCUGACUGCAAGUAAAUCUGACACAAGAAAACAACACUGAUUCAUAAAUCUGGAACCAACAAAAGUUUUGUAAUAAAGGGGGCAAACAGCCUUAUUUCUGCAGAAGAGCCACAUUUUCAGUGUACUUGCUUCAGACAUUAUUAAACAAACCCACAUAAAGAAGUAUUACAGUGCUAUGAUCAAAACUACAAGUCAUAAAAGUUUGAAAAUCAAAUGUUUUCAUAUAUUGAAGGUUUUUUACCUUCAAUAAAGCCCCAGGAGAUGAGAAUGAUAGUUUCUUUUUUAGAAUCUUUAUGUAUCUGAACCAUAUUACAUUAGCUUUAUGCAUCUGAACCUUUAUUUAGCCACCAACCUGUUCCCUCUGAGUAUCAUCAAGUAUAACUUGCAGCAAGUAGCAAAAAAUAAAAUCUUAUUUGGAACUCCCCUUGUUUUUUCUCUGGGAGAGUGAAGUUCCUCCUAAUCUGAAAUUUGUAGGAUUUUAAAAAUAAAACCAAAAAAUAAUUCACAAUCACCUCACCAGAACUCUUUCUGUUCCUAUUAUUUAAUCAUUAUAGAUAACAAUUUCCUAGAACCUUCUUUGAGGAAUUAUGUAAUUUGGUGAAAAUAUGCCUAA